This 506-nucleotide ribosomal RNA is filed under the name uncultured bacterium. Its description in RNAcentral is "partial 16S ribosomal RNA". It matches the Rfam family "Bacterial small subunit ribosomal RNA", at positions 29 to 523 of the family's 1533-position model. The record is from RNAcentral.
AGUGAACGCUGGCGGUAGGCCUAACACAUGCAAGUCGAACGGCAGCACAGGAGAGCUUGCUCUCUGGGUGGCGAGUGGCGGACGGGUGAGGAAUACAUCGGAAUCUACUUUUUCGUGGGGGAUAACGUAGGGAAACUUACGCUAAUACCGCAUACGACCUACGGGUGAAAGCAGGGGACCUUCGGGCCUUGCGCGAUGGAAUGAGCCGAUGUCGGAUUAGGUAGUUGGCGGGGUAAAGGCCCACCAAGGCGACGAUCCGUAGCUGGUCUGCGAGGAUGAUCAGCCACACUGGAACUGAGACACGGUCCAGACUCCUACGGGAGGCAGCAGUGGGGAAUAUUGGACAAUGGGCGCAAGCCUGAUCCAGCCAUACCGCGUGGGUGAAGAAGGCCUUCGGGUUGUAAAGCCCUUUUGUUGGGAAAGAAAUCCAGCUGGCUAAUACCCGGUUGGGAUGACGGUACCCAAAGAAUAAGCACCGGCUAACUUCGUGCCAGCAGCCGCAGUAA